AGUGAACGCUGGCGGUAGGCCUAACACAUGCAAGUCGAACGGCAGCACAGUAAGAGCUUGCUCUUACGGGUGGCGAGUGGCGGACGGGUGAGGAAUACAUCGGAAUCUACUUUUUCGUGGGGGAUAACGUAGGGAAACUUACGCUAAUACCGCAUACGACCUACGGGUGAGAGCAGGGGAUCUUCGGACCUUGCGCGAUUGAAUGAGCCGAUGUCGGAUUAGCUAGUUGGCGGGGUAAAGGCCCACCAAGGCGACGAUCCGUAGCUGGUCUGAGAGGAUGAUCAGCCACACUGGAACUGAGACACGGUCCAGACUCCUACGGGAGGCAGCAGUGGGGAAUAUUGGACAAUGGGCGCAAGCCUGAUCCAGCCAUACCGCGUGGGUGAAGAAGGCCUUCGGGUUGUAAAGCCCUUUUGUUGGGAAAGAAAAGCAGCAGGUUAAUACCCCGCUGUUCUGACGGUACCCAAGGAAUAAGCACCGGCUAACUUCGUG
RNAcentral lists this ribosomal RNA (492 nucleotides) under uncultured bacterium. Its description in RNAcentral is "partial 16S ribosomal RNA". It matches the Rfam family "Bacterial small subunit ribosomal RNA", at positions 29 to 507 of the family's 1533-position model. The record is from RNAcentral.